UACGUAGGUGGCAAGCGUUAUCCGGAAUUAUUGGGCGUAAAGAGCGCGCAGGUGGUUGAUUAAGUCUGAUGUGAAAGCCCACGGCUUAACCGUGGAGGGUCAUUGGAAACUGGUCGACUUGAGUGCAGAAGAGGGUAGUGGAAUUCCAUGUGUAGCGGUGAAAUGCGUAGAGAUAUGGAGGAACACCAGUGGCGAAGGCGGCUUCCUGGUCUGUAACUGACACUGAGGCGCGAAAGCGUGGGGAGCAAACAGGAUUAGAUA
This 261-nucleotide ribosomal RNA is filed under the name uncultured prokaryote. RNAcentral's name for it is "partial 16S ribosomal RNA". It matches the Rfam family "Bacterial small subunit ribosomal RNA", at positions 524 to 784 of the family's 1533-position model. The record is from RNAcentral.